UGUUUGCACUUAGCGGGAAGGGUAAGAACCUUCGACUAAGGUUCGACUCGAGCGCCAGCGAGAGAGCGUUGCCACAGGCAACGGCCCGAAGGGCGAGGAGCGAUAGCGACGAGUUAUCCUUCCCCCACCACCA
This 133-nucleotide small RNA is filed under the name Klebsiella pneumoniae. RNAcentral describes it as "RtT sRNA". It matches the Rfam family "RtT RNA". From Rfam's summary of the family: This family represents a bacterial cis-regulatory element known as RtT RNA. The exact function of RtT is unknown although it is thought that it may be involved in changing the cellular response in relation to amino acid starvation. Lineage: Bacteria; Pseudomonadati; Pseudomonadota; Gammaproteobacteria; Enterobacterales; Enterobacteriaceae. The record is from RNAcentral. RNAcentral also lists the same sequence under 6 other names.